GUAUGAUCUUGUAUAUGAGGAGGUGAGGAGAAACUCCUCCAGCUUCAGGAAGGAGGAACUCACUGCCAUCCAUGAAACAUUUCUGUGCUGUGGGAAGUAUUCACCCUUUGAAGAAAUCAGAGGCAUUGAAAAUGGGACAUGUCCAUCAACUCUUACAAGUACAGCAAGAGAGGAUUGCCUUCAGCAGAUCCAAGACUUUAUGAAAAAACACAUGCGUUAUGUCUCCACACUGCUGAUCAUCACCCUCUGCUUAAUGGUGUAUGGGAUGGUUUUAACUUCGUUCCUCUGGUUUUCCAUCCACUUCAGCAAUAAUCUGGACCGCAAAGGCAA
Molecule: long non-coding RNA, 330 nt
Filed under: Crocodylus porosus (Australian saltwater crocodile)
Lineage: Eukaryota; Metazoa; Chordata; Crocodylia; Crocodylidae
Description: lncRNA (ENSCPRG00005017016.1)
Source: RNAcentral